GACGAACGCUGGCGGCGUGCUUAACACAUGCAAGUCGAACGGAAAGGCCCUGCUUUUGUGGGGUGCUCGAGUGGCGAACGGGUGAGUAACACGUGAGUAACCUGCCCUUGACUUUGGGAUAACUUCAGGAAACUGGGGCUAAUACCGGAUAGGAGCUCCUGCUGCAUGGUGGGGGUUGGAAAGUUUCGGCGGUUGGGGAUGGACUCGCGGCUUAUCAGCUUGUUGGUGGGGUAGUGGCUUACCAAGGCUUUGACGGGUAGCCGGCCUGAGGGGGUGACCGGCCACAUUGGGACUGAGAUACGGCCCAGACUCCUACGGGAGGCAGCAGUGGGGAAUAUUGCACAAUGGGCGGAAGCCUGAUGCAGCAACGCCGCGUGCGGGAUGACGGCCUUCGGGUUGUAAACCGCUUCCGCCUGUGACGAAGCGUGAGUGACGGUAAUGGGUAAAGAAGCACCGGCUAACUACGUGCCAGCAGCCGCGGUGAUACGUAGGGUGCGAGCGUUGUCCGGAUUUAUUGGGCGUAAAGGGCUCGUAGGUGGUUGAUCGCGUCGGAAGUGUAAUCUUGGGGCUUAACCCUGAGCGUGCUUUCGAUACGGGUUGACUUGAGGAAGGUAGGGGAGAAUGGAAUUCCUGGUGGAGCGGUGGAAUGCGCAGAUAUCAGGAGGAACACCAGUGGCGAAGGCGGUUCUCUGGGCCUUUCCUGACGCUGAGGAGCGAAAGCGUGGGGAGCGAACAGGCUUAGAUACCCUGGUAGUCCACGCUGUAAACGGUGGGUACUAGGUGUGGGGUCCAUUCCACGGGUUCCGUGCCGUAGCUAACGCUUUAAGUACCCCGCCUGGGGAGUACGGCCGCAAGGCUAAAACUCAAAGGAAUUGACGGGGCCCCGCACAAGCGGCGGAGCAUGCGGAUUAAUUCGGUGCAACGCGUAGAACCUUACCUGGGUUUGACAUGGAUCGGGAGCGCUCAGAGAUGGGUGUGCCUCUUUUGGGGUCGGUUCACAGGUGGUGCAUGGCUGUCGUCAGCUCGUGUCGUGAGAUGUUGGGUUAAGUCCCGCAACGAGCGCAACCCUUGUUCACUGUUGCCAGCACGUUAUGGUGGGGACUCAGUGGAGACCGCCGGGGUCAACUCGGAGGAAGGUGGGGAUGACGUCAAGUCAUCAUGCCCCUUAUGUCCAGGGCUUCACGCAUGCUACAAUGGCUGGUACAGAGAGUGGCGAGCCUGUGAGGGUGAGCGAAUCUCGGAAAGCCGGUCUCAGUUCGGAUUGGGGUCUGCAACUCGACCUCAUGAAGUCGGAGUCGCUAGUAAUCGCAGAUCAGCAACGCUGCGGUGAAUACGUUCCCGGG
Molecule: ribosomal RNA, 1343 nt
Filed under: uncultured bacterium
Lineage: Bacteria
Description: 16S ribosomal RNA
Rfam family: Bacterial small subunit ribosomal RNA
Source: RNAcentral